CCCUGCCAUUUGUACACACCGCCCGUCGCUCCUACCGAUUUUGAGUGAUGUGGUGAACCUUCUGGACUGCGUCCGGGUUCAACCCGGAUGUGGGAAGUUAAGUAAACCUUAUCACUUAGAGGAAGGAGAAGUCG
This 134-nucleotide ribosomal RNA is filed under the name uncultured eukaryote. Its description in RNAcentral is "partial small subunit ribosomal RNA". It matches the Rfam family "Eukaryotic small subunit ribosomal RNA", at positions 1651 to 1791 of the family's 1831-position model. The record is from RNAcentral.